GAAGAGAUAAGUUGCAUCAUAUAAAUUUGCGUUAACAUACGACAACAAAGUUAAAUGAAUACGGGAAAACUUUGUCGUGGUAAAGGUGAGGGAAAAGAUAAUUUGGGCUUCCCUUUCCUGCUGUACUUGAUUAGCUGUGUUUCUUUCUUCAAAGCAAUGAGUGCCUUCAGUUAACAAGUCAACAAAAUGCCGUGAGGCGAUUGAUUACCGAUCAAAAACUAUAAUGGAAUAGUAACAUAAAACAAGUGCCGAAUCAAGCUGGCUAAUAAGUAUGAAAACUUUUUCAAUUUCAUAACCUGCCUUUUGAAGGGCAUGAUUCUUCAAAUGUACGUCAUAAACAAAAAACAAAAUUUUCGCCACAAAAUAAUCACUUUUAUUUAACCACUCAGAUUACAUCUUAAGCUAAUAUUUUUCUAAGACACAUUUGACACCCCUUAAGCAACUUACAAUGCAAUUAUGCAUUAGAACCUCAUAGAUGAAUUUGAAGUUGAGUGCAAAAGAGCCUUCGUUGUUUUAAUCAACACAUACACCCCAAAAUCAGCACACAUACACAUUAAAUUAACACAUACACCCCAAAAACAGCACAUACAUACACACUAAAUCAACACAUACACCCCAAAAUCAGCACACACAUACACAAAUAUCCAUACACUACGAGGGGAGAAAUUAAAGGAAAAUUACAGAAAUUAAAGGCACUCACUACGAGGGGAGAGGUCGGCAGGGAAAUGUGGCGACGAGGCGGCGGCAAGGCAACGGCGGAGCAAAAAUUGAGUUUUCAGCCAACGAAACCGGCGAGCAAAGGUGGAAUGACGACAAAGGAACGGCGGCGGAACAGGUCCCUAACAGUAGAGAGAGAGAGAGAGAGAGAGAGAGAGAGAGAGAGAGAG
This 887-nucleotide long non-coding RNA is filed under the name Erythranthe guttata (spotted monkey flower). Its description in RNAcentral is "long non-coding RNA (EGUT_LNC001000)". Lineage: Eukaryota; Viridiplantae; Streptophyta; Magnoliopsida; Lamiales; Phrymaceae. The record is from RNAcentral.